This is a long non-coding RNA of Anas platyrhynchos (mallard), 870 nucleotides long. RefSeq lists it as uncharacterized. NCBI's taxonomy places the organism in Eukaryota, Metazoa, Chordata, Aves, Anseriformes, Anatidae. The record is from RefSeq and is a predicted model, not a curated record.
ACCAUUUCCAAAUUGACAUCCCUGCUUGGUUUUGCUAUCAGUAUCAGUAAAUAUAUAUAUUUAGCUUCACUUGACCUCUUGAAGCUUCAUCCGUCAUGCCAGAGAGUAAGGACGUCACACUAGAUGUAAAGGACAUUGAAGAAAAGGAAUUGUUUAAUACAAUUAGAAUGAGCGUUGAGUAAUCAAAAUAUAAACCUUUAGUAAAAAUAGUAAAAUAGAAGUAAUUUCAAAUGAGCAGAUAACUUCUGGCAGUUUUGUCUUUUGGUUCUGUGUUCUCAUCAACUUUUUAAGCCACUCCAUUUCAAAUAUCCACAGAACUCACAAAUAAGACAGCAGAUCCAAUACUUUAUCAAUGCUUACAGCCAGAGAAAUGAAAAAGCUCUGAUUUAAAUGGUAAGGCUGGCCAUCCUUCAAGCUAUCAUUCUUUUAAAUCCCCAUGCUCCAGCAAUUUGCUCUGAGACUUGCAACUCAUCUGAUUCCCACUUCUGAGAACAAAAUUCUCCGAAAUAAGUAGAUAACCUCCACUGGCUAUGAUUUUAUGACAGUACUUUGAUUAGCAGGUGAUCCUUCUACUGAAGUCAAGUGAAAACACCAGGAUCGUGGUUUUAAAUGGCAUGUCUCAGCUGUUGUGAAGUCCAGGAUAAAGCCGUGUCCCCUCCAACACUAAAGAAAUAGUAUUAUCCAGUAUGACACAUGCCUAGAUAUGUCUGAUUGUGAUCAUAAUAUAGCCUUAAGGUGAGACCUAUAGAGUGAUGGGCAGCCCUUCUAAUGACUGGGGAUUUCAAACAGUAAUGUGGCAGUAUCUUCUUUUGGACCUAGGACCCUUAGACCUCUUGUUGUGUAGUCACAUGCCACAGGACAAUUUCCUUU